This 466-nucleotide ribosomal RNA is filed under the name Vreelandella stevensii. RNAcentral describes it as "partial 16S ribosomal RNA". It matches the Rfam family "Bacterial small subunit ribosomal RNA", at positions 338 to 795 of the family's 1533-position model. Lineage: Bacteria; Pseudomonadati; Pseudomonadota; Gammaproteobacteria; Oceanospirillales; Halomonadaceae. The record is from RNAcentral.
CCUACGGGGAGGCAGCAGUGGGGAAUAUUGGACAAUGGGCGAAAGCCUGAUCCAGCCAUGCCGCGUGUGUGAAGAAGGCCUUCGGGUUGUAAAGCACUUUCAGUGGGGAAGAAAGCCUUGGGGCUAAUACCCUCGAGGAAGGACAUCACCCACAGAAGAAGCACCGGCUAACUCCGUGCCAGCAGCCGCGGUAAUACGGAGGGUGCGAGCGUUAAUCGGAAUUACUGGGCGUAAAGCGCGCGUAGGCGGUCUGAUAAGCCGGUUGUGAAAGCCCCGGGCUCAACCUGGGAACGGCAUCCGGAACUGUCAGGCUAGAGUGCAGGAGAGGAAGGUAGAAUUCCCGGUGUAGCGGUGAAAUGCGUAGAGAUCGGGAGGAAUACCAGUGGCGAAGGCGGCCUUCUGGACUGACACUGACGCUGAGGUGCGAAAGCGUGGGUAGCAAACAGGAUUAGAUACCCCUGUAGUC